GGUUGGUCCAAAAGUAGUGCGUUAUCACAAUUGAUUGUUCAAGGUCAGUUACAGAUCAAAGUCCUUGUUCUUCCCUUCCCCCUUCUCACUACUGCACUUGACUAGUCUUAA
Nomascus leucogenys (northern white-cheeked gibbon) is the source of this 111-nucleotide unclassified non-coding RNA. It matches the Rfam family "Y RNA". Rfam says of the family: Y RNAs are components of the Ro ribonucleoprotein particle (Ro RNP), in association with Ro60 and La proteins. The Y RNAs and Ro60 and La proteins are well conserved, but the function of the Ro RNP is not known. The record is from Ensembl. Lineage: Eukaryota; Metazoa; Chordata; Mammalia; Primates; Hylobatidae.